GACGUAGGGUGCAAGCGUUGUCCGGAAUUAUUGGGCGUAAAGAGCUCGUAGGCGGUCUGUCACGUCUGCCGUGAAAACCCGAGGCUUAACCUCGUGGCUUGCGGUGGAUACGGGCAGACUAGAGGUAGGUAGGGGAGAACGGAAUUCCCGGUGUAGCGGUGAAAUGCGCAGAUAUCGGGAGGAACACCGGUGGCGAAGGCGGUUCUCUGGGCCUUACCUGACGCUGAGGAGCGAAAGCAUGGGGAGCGAACAGG
RNAcentral lists this ribosomal RNA (254 nucleotides) under uncultured bacterium. RNAcentral describes it as "partial 16S ribosomal RNA". It matches the Rfam family "Bacterial small subunit ribosomal RNA", at positions 524 to 776 of the family's 1533-position model. The record is from RNAcentral.